UAGGCUUAGGCUUAGACUUAGGCUUUGGCUUAGGCUUAGCCUUAGGCAUAGG
RNAcentral lists this small RNA (52 nucleotides) under Caenorhabditis elegans. RNAcentral's name for it is "Unclassified non-coding RNA F52F10.8". Lineage: Eukaryota; Metazoa; Nematoda; Chromadorea; Rhabditida; Rhabditidae. The record is from RNAcentral.